UGGGGAAUUUUGGACAAUGGGCGCAAGCCUGAUCCAGCCAUGCCGCGUGCGGGAAGAAGGCCUUCGGGUUGUAAACCGCUUUUGUCAGGGAAGAAAUCUUCUGAGUUAAUACCUCGGGAGGAUGACGGUACCUGAAGAAUAAGCACCGGCUAACUACGUGCCAGCAGCCGCGGUAAUACGUAGGGUGCAAGCGUUAAUCGGAAUUACUGGGCGUAAAGCGUGCGCAGGCGGUUUUGUAAGACAGAGGUGAAAUCCCCGGGCUCAACCUGGGAACUGCCUUUGUGACUGCAAGGCUUGAGUGCGGCAGAGGGGGAUGGAAUUCCGCGUGUAGCAGUGAAAUGCGUAGAUAUGCGGAGGAACACCGAUGGCGAAGGCAAUCCCCUGGGCCUGCACUGACGCUCAUGCACGAAAGCGUGGGGAGCAAACAGGAUUAGAUAGCCCCUGGUAGUCCACGCCCUAAAACCGAUGUCAACUGGUUGUUGGGAAGGUUCCUUCUCAGUAACGUAGCUAACGCGUGAAGUUGACCGCCUGGGGAGUACGGCCGCAAGGUUGAAAC
RNAcentral lists this ribosomal RNA (556 nucleotides) under uncultured bacterium. RNAcentral describes it as "partial 16S ribosomal RNA". It matches the Rfam family "Bacterial small subunit ribosomal RNA", at positions 355 to 900 of the family's 1533-position model. The record is from RNAcentral.